GGGAUUGUGGCUCAGUGGCAGAGCCUUUGCCUCACAAGUAUGAGGCACUGGGUUCGAUCCUCAGCACCA
This 69-nucleotide transfer RNA is filed under the name Ictidomys tridecemlineatus (thirteen-lined ground squirrel). RNAcentral describes it as "Spermophilus tridecemlineatus (thirteen-lined ground squirrel) tRNA". It matches the Rfam family "tRNA". Rfam says of the family: Transfer RNA (tRNA) molecules are approximately 80 nucleotides in length. Their secondary structure includes four short double-helical elements and three loops (D, anti-codon, and T loops). Further hydrogen bonds mediate the characteristic L-shaped molecular structure. tRNAs have two regions of fundamental functional importance: the anti-codon, which is responsible for specific mRNA codon recognition, and the 3' end, to which the tRNAs corresponding amino acid is attached (by aminoacyl-tRNA synthetases). tRNAs cope with the degeneracy of the genetic code in two manners: having more than one tRNA (with a specific anti-codon) for a particular amino acid; and 'wobble' base-pairing, i.e. permitting non-standard base-pairing at the 3rd anti-codon position. Lineage: Eukaryota; Metazoa; Chordata; Mammalia; Rodentia; Sciuridae. The record is from Rfam by way of RNAcentral.